Long non-coding RNA from Sinocyclocheilus grahami, 841 nucleotides. RefSeq lists it as uncharacterized. Lineage: Eukaryota; Metazoa; Chordata; Actinopteri; Cypriniformes; Cyprinidae. The record is from RefSeq and is a predicted model, not a curated record. The transcript is spliced from 2 exons.
AUUCUACGAGUUUUUUUUAGUUUCAAACAGAAUAAAAAGAUAAUUACAACUUCUUCCACACAAUUCUGAUUUUUUUUCUUGCCGUUGCCAUUCCAUAUAAGUUUUUCUUCUUCGAAUAGCUGAGAAAAAAAGUUUAAUUAAAAAAAGUUGCAAUUAACUUUUUAUUUUUUAUUCUGAUGAAAAUGAGCUUUCGUCAUUUUUUGUGAGCGAGACACAUAGUUUUAAAGCACAGCUGAAAAAGACAAAAUCAGGAAUGGUUCAUCCAACACUUUUAAGUACUUUCCUUCAAUUUUUCUGAGAAUUGACGCUAUGACAAAUAGAUUUCGCAAUGUAGCACCAAACUGUAUUCUGUAAAUUGUAAUUCCACACAAUACACGCUAUUCUGCUAUCCCAUCUUCCCCACUACGUCAUUAGUCUAACUUAACUACUUCCACACAGUGUUUCCGAGAGCUGCAAGAUGAGAACAAACUUCUUCCUACUGGCAGAAUCGCUUCAAAAUGUAUGCAGAGGCAUGCUUUCUUAAAAAGCAUAACCACACAAGUAAUACACGGUUUCAUUAACAAUCUGUAUAAUAGAAAAGGUGCUACUUUAGAAGAGGAAGACCAUUUAAAAAGAAACAUCUAGCUGGUAAUUUCAUUGAACCAUUAACCUCUGCUGGUGAAUUUAGUCAUGAAAUUCCCUCCAUGUCUAUACAAAAGUAGUAUAAAAACAAUUCAUUUGGAACUAAUUAACAAAAAUGGUUUGUAUGGAUGUCUGAUGUCGUUAUUGGAUCAGUUGAAUUUAGCAGGGGACGUAUAUUUUCAGUCAGCCGCUUUGGGGUUGGAGUAAAUAUACACGUAUA